GAUGAACGCUGGCGGCGUGCCUAAUACAUGCAAGUCGAGCGAACAGACGAGGAGCUUGCUCCUCUGACGUUAGCGGCGGACGGGUGAGUAACACGUGGAUAACCUACCUAUAAGACUGGGAUAACUUCGGGAAACCGGAGCUAAUACCGGAUAAUAUAUUGAACCGCAUGGUUCAAUAGUGAAAGACGGUUUUGCUGUCUCUUAUAGAUGGAUCCGCGCCGCAUUAGCUAGUUGGUAAGGUAACGGCUUACCAAGGCAACGAUGCGUAGCCGACCUGAGAGGGUGAUCGGCCACACUGGAACGGAGACACGGUUCAGACGCCUACGGGAGGCAGCAGUAGGGAAUCUUCCGCAAUGGGCGAAAGCCUGACGGAGCAACGCCGCGUGAGUGAUGAAGGUCUUCGGAUCGUAAAACUCUGUUAUUAGGGAAGAACAAAUGUGUAAGUAACUAUGCACGGCUUGACGGUACCUAAUCAGAAAGCCACGGCUAACUACGUG
This 497-nucleotide ribosomal RNA is filed under the name uncultured bacterium. Its description in RNAcentral is "partial 16S ribosomal RNA". It matches the Rfam family "Bacterial small subunit ribosomal RNA", at positions 28 to 507 of the family's 1533-position model. The record is from RNAcentral.